This is a long non-coding RNA of Calypte anna (Anna's hummingbird), 211 nucleotides long. RefSeq lists it as uncharacterized. The transcript has 3 exons. Lineage: Eukaryota; Metazoa; Chordata; Aves; Apodiformes; Trochilidae. The record is from RefSeq and is a predicted model, not a curated record.
GCGGCCUCUCACAGAGGAAGGGCAAGAGCUGCGCGGAGGCGGCCGGCUGGCCCCACAGGCCGGGCUGAGGCCGAGGAGGAGCCGCUGGGUCAGCCCGUUCACAGGGGACUCUCAGAGCCGCUCGAGGUUAUUCAAACUAAGUUGAAGAAGAAUUCAAGUGCUCUGGAAUUUCUCCAGUGUUUGAAAACUAAGUAUGAAUAUUAACAGUCCA